This 378-nucleotide ribosomal RNA is filed under the name uncultured bacterium. RNAcentral's name for it is "bacterial SSU rRNA". It matches the Rfam family "Bacterial small subunit ribosomal RNA", at positions 28 to 407 of the family's 1533-position model. The record is from RNAcentral.
GACGAACGCUGGCGGCGUGCUUAACACAUGCAAGUCGAGCGGUAGGGCCCUUUCGGGGGUACACGAGCGGCGAACGGGUGAGUAACACGUGGGUGACCUGCCCUUAGCUCUGGGAUAAGCCUGGGAAACUGGGUCUAAUACCGGAUAUGACUCCAUAACGCAUGUUGUGGGGNGGAAAGCCUUGUGCGGCUAGGGAUGGGCCCGCGGCCUAUCAGCUUGUUGGUGGGGUGAUGGCCCACCAAGGCGACGACGGGUAGCCGGCCUGAGAGGGCGACCGGCCACACUGGGACUGAGACACGGCCCAGACUCCUACGGGAGGCAGCAGUGGGGAAUCUUGCGCAAUGGGCGAAAGCCUGACGCAGCGACGCCGCGUGGGGA